RNAcentral lists this ribosomal RNA (354 nucleotides) under uncultured bacterium. RNAcentral's name for it is "partial 16S ribosomal RNA". It matches the Rfam family "Bacterial small subunit ribosomal RNA", at positions 338 to 684 of the family's 1533-position model. The record is from RNAcentral.
CCUACGGGUGGCAGCAGUAGGGAAUUUUCGUCAAUGGGCGCAAGCCUGAACGAGCGAUGCCGCGUGAGUGAAGAAGGCCUUCGGGUCGUAAAGCUCUGUUGCGGGGGAAAAAAGGCAGCAUCAGGAAAUGGGUGCUGACUGAUGGUGCCCCGCCAGAAAGUCACGGCUAACUACGUGCCAGCAGCCGCGGUAAAACGUAGGAGGCGAGCGUUAUCCGGAAUGAAUGGGCGUAAAGGUGGCGCAGGCGGUCCUGUAAGUCUGGCGUGAAACGCAUGGGGUCAACCCAUGCAUUGCUUGGGAAACUGGAGGACUGGAGAGCAGGAGAGGGCGGUGGAACUCCAUGUGUAGCGGUCA